GGAAAAAUGUCUUCAACCUUGGAUAUUCAGCAGCUGUUACCAAUCAAAGAAGAACUUGAUGAGUGGAGCCCUGAUAUGGAGCAGCAAGUCCAGCUCCUCAGCAUAAAGAAGGAAGAGGAGGAGGAAGCUGACAUCACUGAUUUCCCGCUCGCUGCUGCUGCUGCGGUGAAGAGUGAAAAUGAAGAGAAAGUGCACUCACUGUUUCAUCAUGUUAAAAACGAAUAUAAGGACGAGGAGGAGCCUCAGACCAGCAGCUCAGGGCAAGAUUUAAGAACAUGUGAUGAAAUCCAGACAGCUGAAGACACUACUAGCAACCAUCACGAUGCCCCGGCCAGCUACCGGCUCCUUUCACCGCUCCAGCCCAACACACCAACCUACACAUCUAUGCAACGUCCCCAGCAAAUAGAGUCUGUGUUCAAUGUCUUCUAUAAUGAAGAUGCAGCCUUCCAAAAACUGCUAACCUUGUUGACAGAGCUGACCAGAGAAGUCAGGGACCUCCGUGAGGAGGUCAGAGCUCUCAAUCAAUCCUGCAGCAAUGAACCUCUUGAUGCUGGGGGUUUGCCUCUGGAUUUGCCUUUGCACAAUAUGGAUGAGCUGAACAAUGCAGAGGCAACUCUGCAGUUACCAGAAUCAUAUAAAACAAUGGUGAGAUGCUUUUCUUUGAUUGGAGGGACCACACUGGAGGUGCGAGUCCGCCGUAUACUAGCCUAUGUCAUUACAAAUGAGCUGGCCUCUGGACUUAACUGGGCUGGGAGGAAAACUAAGGACCAGACCAAGCAAAAGAGGGCAUUUAAAGAGACAGCGCUCUGCAGAUGCAUUUUUGAUGGCCUGACUCAGCAGGUGGGGGUAAAUGCAGUUUCUGAGUUUGCCUUCGCCCAAGCAGUGCAGAAAUGGCUCUGCUGUGCUCCAGAUCGGAUGGGUGGUGCAGGACGCAGGAUAUCCAGCCCCAUCCCAGAGUAAACUAAAUACAAUGACUUGUAACGAAUACAUUUAACAAAAAACGUUUUGUUUUGGGGGUUUUUAAUAAAUUGGUUUUUUAU
Oreochromis aureus is the source of this 1040-nucleotide long non-coding RNA. The record is from Ensembl. NCBI's taxonomy places the organism in Eukaryota, Metazoa, Chordata, Actinopteri, Cichliformes, Cichlidae.